GGAGAGGUGACUGAGUGGUUGAAAGUACUCGCCUCGAAAGCGAGCAUACGGGAAACCGUAUCGUGGGUUCGAAUCCCACCCUCUCCGCCA
This 90-nucleotide transfer RNA is filed under the name Acidobacteriota bacterium. RNAcentral's name for it is "Acidobacteria bacterium tRNA-Ser". It matches the Rfam family "tRNA". Rfam says of the family: Transfer RNA (tRNA) molecules are approximately 80 nucleotides in length. The record is from RNAcentral. RNAcentral also lists the same sequence under 1 other name. Lineage: Bacteria; Pseudomonadati; Acidobacteriota.